This 444-nucleotide ribosomal RNA is filed under the name Ceratopsion sp. G314847. Its description in RNAcentral is "eukaryotic LSU rRNA". The record is from RNAcentral. Lineage: Eukaryota; Metazoa; Porifera; Demospongiae; Axinellida; Raspailiidae.
AAACUUUGGAGAGAGAGUCAAAAAGACCGCGAAACCGUUAGGAGGGAAACGGAUGCAACCAAAGUGGCUCUCAUUCAGGCUCAGGAGUUGUUGGCGUGCAGUGCCAGGCUGUUGGACGCCGUAGGGUGCGGCAACCAGGGUACAGCUGUCGACCACUCUGCAUUCCCGAUGAGAGUCGGCCAACAGCAGUUAUCCCUGACUCAGGAGGGUCAGUGGGGAGGUAGCUUCUUGGUUUACCGGGAAGAACUUAUAGCCAUUGACCUGGCAGUUGGGGGUGACUGAGGAGUGCUGUGACUUUUCACACCAGCAGUGCAGGCUCCCUAGGGGCCGGGUCGCUUCUGUCCGUGUGGACAAUGCUUCCGGGACUGCUUGCAGUGUCGGAGGACAUGUGUGUGCUCGGGUGGGAGGUCGGCCACGCCUUGCACUGAAGUUGUUGGUACGUGG